RNAcentral lists this ribosomal RNA (252 nucleotides) under uncultured bacterium. RNAcentral's name for it is "partial 16S ribosomal RNA". It matches the Rfam family "Bacterial small subunit ribosomal RNA", at positions 524 to 776 of the family's 1533-position model. The record is from RNAcentral.
UACGUAGGUCCCGAGCGUUGUCCGGAUUUAUUGGGCGUAAAGCGAGCUCAGGUGGUUUAUUAAGUCUGGUGUAAAAGGCAGUGGCUCAACCAUUGUAUGCAUUGGAAACUGGUAGACUUGAGUGCAGGAGAGGAGAGUGGAAUUCCAUGUGUAGCGGUGAAAUACGUAGAUAUAUGGAGGAACACCGGUGGCGAAAGCGGCUCUCUGGCCUGUAACUGACACUGAGGCUCGAAAGCGUGGGGAGCAAACAGG